Molecule: ribosomal RNA, 500 nt
Filed under: uncultured bacterium
Lineage: Bacteria
Description: partial 16S ribosomal RNA
Rfam family: Bacterial small subunit ribosomal RNA
Source: RNAcentral
AUUGAACGCUGGCGGCAUGCUUUACACAUGCAAGUCGAACGGCAGCGGGGGCUUCGGCCUGCCGGCGAGUGGCGAACGGGUGAGUAAUGCAUCGGAACGUACCCAGUCAUGGGGGAUAACUACGCGAAAGCGUAGCUACUACCGCAUACGCCCUGAGGGGGAAAGCGGGGGACCGCAAGGCCUCGCGUGAUUGGAGCGGCCGAUGUCGGAUUAGCUAGUUGGUGGGGUAAAGGCCUACCAAGGCGACGAUCCGUAGCGGGUCUGAGAGGAUGAUCCGCCACACUGGGACUGAGACACGGCCCAGACUCCUACGGGAGGCAGCAGUGGGGAAUUUUGGACAAUGGGGGCAACCCUGAUCCAGCCAUGCCGCGUGAGUGAAGAAGGCCUUCGGGUUGUAAAGCUCUUUCAGAUGGAAAGAAAACGCUUCUCCUAAUACGGGGGGCGGAUGACGGUACUGUCAGAAGAAGCACCGGCUAACUACGUGCCAGCAGCCGCCGUAA